GAUGAACGCUGGCGGCGUGCCUAACACAUGCAAGUCGAACGAAGCAUCUGGUUUUGAUUUCUUCGGAAUGAAGAGCCUUAUGACUGAGUGGCGGACGGGUGAGUAACGCGUGGGUAACCUGCCUCAUACAGGGGGAUAACAGUUAGAAAUGACUGCUAAUACCGCAUAAGCGCACAGCAUCGCAUGGUGCAGUGUGAAAAACUCCGGUGGUAUGAGAUGGACCCGCGUCUGAUUAGCUAGUUGGUGGGGUAAUGGCCUACCAAGGCGACGAUCAGUAGCCGGCCUGAGAGGGUGAACGGCCACAUUGGGACUGAGACACGGCCCAA
This 326-nucleotide ribosomal RNA is filed under the name uncultured bacterium. RNAcentral describes it as "bacterial SSU rRNA". It matches the Rfam family "Bacterial small subunit ribosomal RNA", at positions 28 to 334 of the family's 1533-position model. The record is from RNAcentral.